CAAUAGCGUAUACUAAAGUUGUUGCAGUUAAAAAGCUCGUAGUUGGAUUUCUGGUCGGAAGCUCCUGUCCUCUGAUGAGCGUACAAGUGCGUCCUACCAUCCUUCUGUUAACCUUUAAGGCUUUCGCGGCUUUCUAGGGGCUCAGAUAUUUUACCUUGAGAAAAUUAGAGUGUUUCAGGCAGGCUAGCGCCGGAAUACAUUAGCAUGGAAUAAUGGAAUAGGACUUUUGCCUCUUCUGUUGGUCAUGAGGCUCGAGUAAUGAUUAAUAGGGAUAGUUGGGGGCAUUAGUACUUAACUGUCAGAGGUGAAAUUCUCGGAUUUGUUAAAGACUAACUUAUGCGAAAGCAUUUGCCAAGGAUGUUUNCAUUA
RNAcentral lists this ribosomal RNA (369 nucleotides) under uncultured eukaryote. RNAcentral describes it as "partial 18S ribosomal RNA". It matches the Rfam family "Eukaryotic small subunit ribosomal RNA", at positions 592 to 975 of the family's 1831-position model. The record is from RNAcentral.